GUACUGCUGAGGAGUCCCAUACCAGGACGAAACGGCCGUCCAGUGC
Molecule: non-coding RNA, 46 nt
Organism: Schistosoma margrebowiei
Lineage: Eukaryota; Metazoa; Platyhelminthes; Trematoda; Strigeidida; Schistosomatidae
Source: Rfam